CCUCGUUUGUUCAGGGGCUGCCGGCCAGGGCUUCAGGACGUUUCUGCGGCUUUCCCCGCGCGGCCUGGGCUCCCGCGGCUGCUUUUCGGGCCCAUGGGCGCAGCCACUGCGCCAGGCUCAAGGGGGGCGGCCCCGUCAGGGCCCGCCAUCUUGGAAGGCCUUUUUUGCCGGUUCUUCCCGCUGAGGAAGUGUCGCUCAAGACGCUGGCCUAUGAGUUGUGAUUUCUGCCUUUUCCCCUUCCUCCUUGGGCUAAGCCAGACCAGAAAGGGCCCCGUGCGCAACGUGCUUCACAAUCUCUCAGGGAAAGCGGCUAACGUGGCGCUACUCCGCCUCCCCUGUUCCUUACCCUUGGGGCGGCCGCCAUGUUUCCUGAACACAAAAUGGCGACACGUGGUUAGCAUUCGUCGCCAACGAGAAAUUGGGGUCGGCCCGAAAGCUCUAGAAUGCACCCCUCUUCCUCCCCGGGGCCUUCCACCUCCGCGAGUUUUAUGACUUAAAAAAGCCCACAGGCUGGUCUGAAGGUCGGAGGCCUAAUUUUAACGCGUUUUCCUCCCUUUAAUUUGAAACGGGAACGCGAAUGACUGUAAAAUGUGGGCACAAUAUUUAAUCUCUCGCCUUUUUAAAGCUUAAUAGUGGAUAAUAGGGGGGCAGUAUCAAGGGAUAAUUUGGGUCCCCACAGUACCAAAGCAUUUAGAAACCUCUGUUUAAUUUAAGGAAUGAGAUAAGUUACUGCUUUUCUAGACUUCCUAGCAUGGGCUGUUGUGCUGGAGAGAACGAGAGCUACGAAGAGACUACAGUGCCUCUGACUUUUUCAUAGGACAGUUGGCCGAGGAAGACAAACAUAAAGAUGAAGUGCUUAAUUCAAGGUCACACAAUGUCGGGGAUGGACCUCCAGAUUUCCUUACUGACCUGCAUUAUCUUGUGGAUACCUGAGUGAAUUCCACACCACCCAUUUUAUAGAUGAAACCACUGAGACAUGGAGCAAUUGACUGAGUAGUCACUGCCCCACCCCUGCCUGGAGCCUCACACAUGACUCGCCUCCUCUCAGUGACCACAGGAAAACAAGCUCAGGGCUCCCACUGAUUGUACAUUAUGAGACGGAGUCUUGCUAUGUUGCCCAGGCUGGUCUUGAACUCCUCACCUCAAGCGAUCCUCCCGUCUUGGCCUCCCAAGUGUCAGGAUUACGGGCAUGUGCUAUCACACCCAACCUGAUACAUUGCCUUUAUAAAUUUUUUUUUCUUUAUUCUAAAAACCAGAAAAAACAAAACUGGAUACAUGUGCAGAACAUGCAGGUGAGACGUGGUCUUGUAACACAGUGGUUAAGAAUGUGACUUUGGAGCCAGCCUGCUAGGGGCUGAAUUCUGACUCAGCCAUUUACUAACUGUGUGACCUUAGUCUCACUGUUGCUCAGGCUGGAGUGCAAUGGCAUGAUCUCGGCUCAUCACAACCUCUGCUUCCUGGGUUCAAGCGAUUCUCCUGCCUCAGCCUCCCGAGUACCUGGGACUACAGGCACUCGCCACCAUGCCCGGCUGAUUUUUGUAUUUUUAAUAGAGAUGGUUUCACUAUGUUGGCCAGGCUGGUCUCGAACUCCUGACCUUGUGAUCUGCCCACCUCAGCCUCGAAAAGUGCUGGGAUUACAGGCGUGAGCCACUGCGCCCAGCCUUGUAUUUUUUUUCAGUUUGGGUAGCUGUCCCUAAUUCAUUUGUUAAAGGAGAAGCAAGAGCAAGAACCUUUAAUCUGUUCUCCUCUUCCCUAAUUUGAAAGUAGCUUGUUAUUUUGAAUAUCACUUUCUCUGAAAUAGCACAUCUCCAUCUCAGAGAAUGGAUUUAAUGUUUGGAUACAGCCAAAAGUCAUUUCAUUACCAAACCAUGGGGUGAAUAUACCAUGUAAAGCAGUUUGGGAUCAGAACUCACAGUCUGAAUUGUAAGUGAUGAGACUGCUGUCUCUCUGCUACAGCUUCUUGGCUGGCUCUGAAGGCUCUUUGAAGGCAGAUCCUAACAAGGGGACUGCUUUGAAGGGCCAUUGUUCAUUUGGAAUGAUAAAGUCUAUGUUGUUCAAAAAACAAAUGCUUGUAGCAGGUAUUUUUUCACUCCAGACUGAGAAUAUUGGUGGGAUAUUGAUAAGGGGUACUGAAUGGUAAUAAACAUGUGCUCUAGCUCUGUGCUAGUCAGCUUAUUUCAGAACUCUAGUUUGAUUCAGUUUCUUGCCUCUGACUCAAAAUGGAGGGAGAGUGAUUUUUACAUAAGAGAACACACCCACAUAUCCUUUUGGCAGCAGCUACCUGCCAGAGAUGUUGAAGAAGAGUAGCCAACCUUUACACAGCAGAUAUUGUGUGCCAGUCAUAGUCCUAAGUAUAAUACCUUACAUGUAUAAACUUCUUAUAAGGUUGGUGCUCUGUACCGAAUUGAAUAGUAUCCCCCAAAAUUCAUGUUGUCCCAGAACCUAUGAAAG
Molecule: long non-coding RNA, 2451 nt
Organism: Homo sapiens (human)
Lineage: Eukaryota; Metazoa; Chordata; Mammalia; Primates; Hominidae
Gene: PCBP1-AS1
Product: PCBP1 antisense RNA 1
Source: Ensembl